GGUUAAGUGACUAAGCGUACACGGUGGAUGCCUGGGCAGUCAGAGGCGAUGAAGGACGUACUAACUUGCGAUAAGCGCAGAUAAGGCAGUAAGAGCCGUUUGAGUCUGCGAUUUCCGAAUGGGGAAACCCAACUGCAUAAGCAGUUACUGUUAACUGAAUACAUAGGUUAACAGAGCAAACCGGGGGAACUGAAACAUCUAAGUACCCCGAGGAGAAGAAAUCAACCGAGAUUCCGGUAGUAGCGGCGAGCGAACCUGGAUUAGCCCUUAAGCACUCGGUGAAGUAGGUGAACAAGCUGGAAAGCUUGGCGAUACAGGGUGAUAGCCCCGUAACCGACGCUUCAUCGAGCGUGAAAUCGAGUAGGGCGGGACACGUGAUAUCCUGUCUGAAUAUGGGGGGACCAUCCUCCAAGGCUAAAUACUCCUGACUGACCGAUAGUGAACCAGUACCGUGAGGGAAAGGCGAAAAGAACCCCUGUGAGGGGAGUGAAAUAGAACCUGAAACCGUGUACGUACAAGCAGUAGGAGCACCUUCGUGGUGUGACUGCGUACCUUUUGUAUAAUGGGUCAGCGACUUAUAUUCAGUGGCAAGGUUAACCGUAUAGGGGAGCCGUAGCGAAAGCGAGUCUUAACUGGGCGCUCAGUCUCUGGAUAUAGACCCGAAACCGGGUGAUCUAGCCAUGGGCAGGUUGAAGGUUGAGUAACAUCAACUGGAGGACCGAACCGACUAAUGUUGAAAAAUUAGCGGAUGACUUGUGGCUAGGGGUGAAAGGCCAAUCAAACUCGGAGAUAGCUGGUUCUCCCCGAAAGCUAUUUAGGUAGCGCCUCGGACGAAUACUACUGGGGGUAGAGCACUGUUAAGGCUAGGGGGUCAUCCCGACUUACCAACCCUUUGCAAACUCCGAAUACCAGUAAGUACUAUCCGGGAGACACACGGCGGGUGCUAACGUCCGUCGUGGAGAGGGAAACAACCCAGACCGCCAGCUAAGGUCCCAAAGUAUUGCUAAGUGGGAAACGAUGUGGGAAGGCUCAGACAGCUAGGAUGUUGGCUUAGAAGCAGCCAUCAUUUAAAGAAAGCGUAAUAGCUCACUAGUCGAGUCGGCCUGCGCGGAAGAUGUAACGGGGCUAAGCAAUACACCGAAGCUGCGGCAAUAUCUUUUAGAUAUUGGGUAGGGGAGCGUUCUGUAAGCCGUUGAAGGUGAAUCGUAAGGUUUGCUGGAGGUAUCAGAAGUGCGAAUGCUGACAUGAGUAACGACAAAGGGGGUGAAAAACCUCCUCGCCGGAAGACCAAGGGUUCCUGUCCAACGUUAAUCGGGGCAGGGUGAGUCGACCCCUAAGGUGAGGCCGAAAGGCGUAAUCGAUGGGAAACGGGUUAAUAUUCCCGUACUUCUGACUAUUGCGAUGGGGGGACGGAGAAGGCUAGGUGGGCCAGGCGACGGUUGUCCUGGUUCAAGUGCGUAGGCUUGAGAGUUAGGUAAAUCCGGCUCUCUCUAAGGCUGAGACACGACGUCGAGCUACUACGGUAGUGAAGUCAUUGAUGCCAUGCUUCCAGGAAAAGCCUCUAAGCUUCAGAUAGUCAGGAAUCGUACCCCAAACCGACACAGGUGGUCGGGUAGAGAAUACCAAGGCGCUUGAGAGAACUCGGGUGAAGGAACUAGGCAAAAUGGUACCGUAACUUCGGGAGAAGGUACGCUCUUGAUGGUGAAGUCCCUCGCGGAUGGAGCUGACGAGAGUCGCAGAUACCAGGUGGCUGCAACUGUUUAUUAAAAACACAGCACUGUGCAAAAUCGCAAGAUGACGUAUACGGUGUGACGCCUGCCCGGUGCCGGAAGGUUAAUUGAUGGGGUUAGCGCAAGCGAAGCUCUUGAUCGAAGCCCCGGUAAACGGCGGCCGUAACUAUAACGGUCCUAAGGUAGCGAAAUUCCUUGUCGGGUAAGUUCCGACCUGCACGAAUGGCGUAAUGAUGGCCACGCUGUCUCCACCCGAGACUCAGUGAAAUUGAAAUCGCUGUGAAGAUGCAGUGUACCCGCGGCUAGACGGAAAGACCCCGUGAACCUUUACUACAGCUUGGCACUGAACAUUGAACCUACAUG
This 2093-nucleotide ribosomal RNA is filed under the name Vibrio cholerae. RNAcentral's name for it is "partial 23S ribosomal RNA". It matches the Rfam family "Bacterial large subunit ribosomal RNA", at positions 1 to 2136 of the family's 2925-position model. The record is from RNAcentral. Lineage: Bacteria; Pseudomonadati; Pseudomonadota; Gammaproteobacteria; Vibrionales; Vibrionaceae.